GAUCAUGGCUCAGGAUGAACGCUGGCGGCGUGCCUAACACAUGCAAGUCGAGCGGAUCUUGCUAAAUGACGCUUCGGUUGAUUUAGUAAGUGAGAGCGGCGGACGGGUGAGUAACGCGUAGGCAACCUGCCCUUUGCAGAGGGAUAGCCAUUGGAAACGAUGAUUAAAACCUCAUAAUGCCAGACUGAGACAUCUCUAACUGGCCAAAGAUUUAUCGGCAAAGGAUGGGCCUGCGUCUGAUUAGCUAGUUGGUGGGGUAACGGCCUACCAAGGCGACGAUCAGUAGCCGACCUGAGAGGGUGAUCGGCCACAUUGGAACUGAGAUACGGUCCAGACUCCUACGGGAGGCAGCAGUGGGGAAUAUUGGGCAAUGGGCGAAAGCCUGACCCAGCAACGCCGCGUGAAGGAAGAAGGCCUUCGGGUUGUAAACUUCUUUUAGCAGGGACGAAGAACGUGACGGUACCUGCAGAAAAAGCAACGGCUAACUACGUG
This 492-nucleotide ribosomal RNA is filed under the name uncultured bacterium. RNAcentral describes it as "bacterial SSU rRNA". It matches the Rfam family "Bacterial small subunit ribosomal RNA", at positions 15 to 507 of the family's 1533-position model. The record is from RNAcentral.